This 284-nucleotide ribosomal RNA is filed under the name uncultured prokaryote. RNAcentral describes it as "partial 16S ribosomal RNA". It matches the Rfam family "Bacterial small subunit ribosomal RNA", at positions 524 to 805 of the family's 1533-position model. The record is from RNAcentral.
GACGAACUGUUCUAACGUUAUUCGGAAUCACUGGGCUUAAAGGGCGCGUAGGCUGUUUGUUAAGCGGGGUCUGAAAUCCCUCGGCUCAACCGAGGAACUGGGCUUCGAACUGGCAGACUAGAGUGAAGUAGGGGUAAGCGGAACUUGCGGUGGAGCGGUGAAAUGCUUUGAUAUCGCAAGGAACACCGGCGGCGAAGGCGGCUUACUGGGCUUCAACUGACGCUUAAGCGCGAAAGCUAGGGUAGCGAACGGGAUUAGAUACCCCUGUAGUCCCUGAGCGGGCU